GCUCAGAUUGAACGCUGGCGGCAGGCCUAACACAUGCAAGUCGGACGGUAGCACAGAGAGCUUGCUCUUGGGUGACGAGUGGCGGACGGGUGAGUAAUGUCUGGGGAUCUGCCCGAUAGAGGGGGAUAACCACUGGAAACGGUGGCUAAUACCGCAUAACGUCGCAAGACCAAAGAGGGGGACCUUCGGGCCUCUCACUAUCGGAUGAACCCAGAUGGGAUUAGCUAGUAGGCGGGGUAAUGGCCCACCUAGGCGACGAUCCCUAGCUGGUCUGAGAGGAUGACCAGCCACACUGGAACUGAGACACGGUCCAGACUCCUACGGGAGGCAGCAGUGGGGAAUAUUGCACAAUGGGNGCAAGCCUGAUGCAGCCAUGCCGCGUGUAUGAAGAAGGCCUUCGGGUUGUAAAGUACUUUCAGCGGGGAGGAAGGCGGUGCGGUUAAUAACCGCGCCGAUUGACGUUACCCGCAGAA
Molecule: ribosomal RNA, 473 nt
Filed under: Pantoea vagans
Lineage: Bacteria; Pseudomonadati; Pseudomonadota; Gammaproteobacteria; Enterobacterales; Erwiniaceae
Description: bacterial SSU rRNA
Rfam family: Bacterial small subunit ribosomal RNA
Source: RNAcentral